Molecule: long non-coding RNA, 363 nt
Filed under: Carica papaya (papaya)
Lineage: Eukaryota; Viridiplantae; Streptophyta; Magnoliopsida; Brassicales; Caricaceae
Description: long non-coding RNA (CPAP_LNC005289)
Source: RNAcentral
GAUGUGUUUCAAAACAAAAGCACAAGUCAAAGGAUGAAACAUGGAGUGCAGUGAAUGACAAUGUUGGACACAAAGCAUAAUGGAUUUGGUUUAACCUUCUGAAUGAAACCGAAGAUACAAUUCCUAAAAGUUCUACUUGAUGAUGGCUACACUCUACGAAAUGAUUUAAGUUGAUGCUAUAUAUAUAAGUGUAUGCAAUCAAUGCAUGAUUGUCAAAAUGGGAGCAAGGGGAAUCAUGCACCUUUUUAUUUAUAUCUAGUGGAGUGAUAGGCCUUUAUUGAUGAAGGAUGAGAUAAAUCAAGCUUGAAAGAAACAAACAAAUUUCGAUUUGCCUCUUUAAUGAGCGAUUGGUUUUCAUUAGUU